RNAcentral lists this ribosomal RNA (219 nucleotides) under Vibrio cholerae. Its description in RNAcentral is "partial 23S ribosomal RNA". It matches the Rfam family "Bacterial large subunit ribosomal RNA", at positions 2129 to 2347 of the family's 2925-position model. Lineage: Bacteria; Pseudomonadati; Pseudomonadota; Gammaproteobacteria; Vibrionales; Vibrionaceae. The record is from RNAcentral.
CCUACAUGUGUAGGAUAGGUGGGAGGCUAUGAAGACGUGACGCCAGUUGCGUUGGAGCCGUCCUUGAAAUACCACCCUUGUAUGUUUGAUGUUCUAACUUAGCCCCAUUAUCUGGGGUGAGGACAGUGCCUGGUGGGUAGUUUGACUGGGGCGGUCUCCUCCCAAAGAGUAACGGAGGAGCACGAAGGUGGGCUAAUCACGGUUGGACAUCGUGAGGUU